RNAcentral lists this ribosomal RNA (254 nucleotides) under uncultured bacterium. Its description in RNAcentral is "partial 16S ribosomal RNA". It matches the Rfam family "Bacterial small subunit ribosomal RNA", at positions 524 to 776 of the family's 1533-position model. The record is from RNAcentral.
CACGUAGGGGGCAAGCGUUGUCCGGAUUUAUUGGGCGUAAAGAGCUCGUAGGCGGUUCGCUAAGUCGGGUGUGAAACCUCCAGGCUCAACCUGGAGACGCCACCUGAUACUGGUGUGACUCGAGUCCGGUAGGGGAGCGUGGAAUUCCUGGUGUAGCGGUGAAAUGCGCAGAUAUCGGGAGGAACACCAGUGGCGAAGGCGGUGCUCUGGGCCGGGACUGACGCUGAGGAGCGAAAGCGUGGGUAGCAAACAGG